Pelobates cultripes (western spadefoot toad) is the source of this 273-nucleotide non-coding RNA. The record is from the annotation of a GenBank genome assembly. Lineage: Eukaryota; Metazoa; Chordata; Amphibia; Anura; Pelobatidae.
GGAGGAAGGAAUCUGUACAUUUCUGCUUGAAACAUUGUACACCUAGAGAUUUGAGCUAGGGGCAAAAAAAUUAAUUUUUUUUUGCAAUAGUAUGCUUCCUACCUGGGUCGGCUCAACAGCCCUUCUGCAGCUCCUGACAGUCAUUCAUUGGCUGAGAGUAUCAGCUCAGUGGAAUAUUCACAGAACUAAUGAGCCCAGAGGAACACCCAUUCUGUGCUGGCUAAUCACACUUCUGAAGGUGGAAAUACACCACCAGCAGCAACAUUAAAGGAG